CCUACGGGAGGCAGCAGUCGAGAAUUAUUCACAAUGGGGGAAACCCUGAUGGUGCGACGCCGCGUGGGGGAAUGAAGGUCUUCGGAUUGUAAACCCCUGUCAUGUGGGAGCAAAUUAAAAAGAGAGUAGCACAAGAGGAAGAGACGGAUAACACUGUGCCAGCAGCCGCGGGAAUACAGAGGUCUCAAGCGUUGUUCGGAGUCAUUGGGCGUAAAGCGUGCGUAGGCUGUUGCGUAAGGCGUGUGUGAAAGGCGCGGGCUCAAACCGCGGAGGGCACAUGAUACUUCGAGACGAGAGUAACGGAGGAAGAACCGGAAUUCUCGGUUGAGCAGUGCAAAGCGUAG
RNAcentral lists this ribosomal RNA (344 nucleotides) under uncultured bacterium. RNAcentral describes it as "partial 16S ribosomal RNA". It matches the Rfam family "Bacterial small subunit ribosomal RNA", at positions 338 to 693 of the family's 1533-position model. The record is from RNAcentral.